CUAAGGAGGAUUUUUUGGGCAUUUUCCAUUCAUAUGCAGAAUCAGUGGUUGAAAAAGGAGAAAGAGAGAUUUUCUUUACAAAAGCUCCUGACCCCAUUAACAUAUUAUCUAUAAAUCUGAUAUGUUCCUGAUCAUACUCCAGGAAAUCAUCUUCAUAGUCAGCCUCUUCCUUCGGAGCCCUCCACAUCAGGCUCUCCUCCUCCUCAUC
RNAcentral lists this long non-coding RNA (208 nucleotides) under Homo sapiens (human). RNAcentral describes it as "lncAB186.1". Lineage: Eukaryota; Metazoa; Chordata; Mammalia; Primates; Hominidae. The record is from RNAcentral.